Molecule: ribosomal RNA, 519 nt
Filed under: uncultured bacterium
Lineage: Bacteria
Description: bacterial SSU rRNA
Rfam family: Bacterial small subunit ribosomal RNA
Source: RNAcentral
GGACGAACGCUGGCGGCGUGCCUAAUACAUGCAAGUCGAACGGUCUUUCUAUGGAAGCUUGCUUCCACUGAGAAGAUAGUGGCGAACGGGUGAGUAACACGUGGGUAACCUGCCCAUAAGAGGGGGAGUAACAUCCGGAAACGGGUGCUAAUACCGCAUAGUUUUCUUGAUCGCAUGAUCGGGAAAGGAAAGACGGCCUUUGUGCUGUCGCUUAUGGAUGGACCCGCGGCGUAUUAGUUAGUUGGUGAGGUAACGGCUCACCAAGACGAUGAUACGUAGCCGACCUGAGAGGGUGAUCGGCCACAUUGGGACUGAGACACGGCCCAAACUCCUACGGGAGGCAGCAGUAGGGAAUCUUCCGCAAUGGACGAAAGUCUGACGGAGCAACGCCGCGUGAGUGAAAGAAGGUUUUCGGAUCGUAAAACUCUGUUGUCAGAGAAGAACAAGUUGGAGAGUAACUGCUCCAGCCUUGACGGUAUCUGACCAGAAAGCCACGGCUAACUACGUGCCAGCCGCGGC